RNAcentral lists this unclassified non-coding RNA (2783 nucleotides) under Hevea brasiliensis (rubber tree). The record is from RNAcentral. Lineage: Eukaryota; Viridiplantae; Streptophyta; Magnoliopsida; Malpighiales; Euphorbiaceae.
GUGGAAACAAUUUUUGAUUCAAAUUAUACGAGAGCAAGUUGGAAUUCUAAUUUACAUUAGUCUAUAAAUGAGAUUUCAACUACAAGUUGGAAAAUUUUGGCCUCUCAACCGACUCACUAAAACCUUCCUCACCAAUCUCUACCACAAACACACCCACCACCACAAAACUGAACGACAAAAAGAGCUAUGCAGGGCACAUAUUGAUGCCCCUUCAUCACGGUUCAACAGCUAUCAAAAACCUAAUAUUAAGGGUGAUAUAAGAAGACAAAUAAUAAAAAAGGGAAAAGCAAAUGAAAGAAAAGAAAAUGAAAAAGAAAAAUUAAUGCUGAUGAUUGUUUUACAAAAGCAACAAUUACUUGGCUCAACAUCAGAAAACCUAGUGAAGGGGUACGCUGGCCCAUAUUAUGACUAUUUCCUCAUUACCCUUGGCGGUACUAUACAGUAUCCUCUCCUACCAUCAACUGAAAGCUAUAAUCCGCAUUCACCCACCAUCCCCUGAUUCAUUUCUUUCUAGUACCGCUGUUCUUUCAGCUGCCCAGGACUGAUUUGUGACGUCCAUGAGUCAAAUAGAACAGCCAAGCAAACAUUGUCAAACCAUUUUAACAUGAUUCUGAAAGAUCAUUCACGAUCCAUUUACAGCCAUCUCCGGCGAUGAGGUUUGUGGUAUUAAAAGGCCAUCCUCUCCACCCAACUGUCUGUUUUCUGUUGUGUUGUGCAAGCAAUCACAAGAGUUUCUAGAAGAAGCAGGAGGCCCCUUCUCCUUAUGGUUCUCCUCUCCUGGGUUGCUGCUAUUAUCACAACAGCUUCUAGAAAUAGCAGUUUCCUUCUCUUGAUGAUUGUCUUCACCAAAGCCCUUGUUUGUGUCAGUUGUGCGAGGUGUUUUAUGCACCGAGCUUGCAGCUUUCUUACCGGGUAUCACUGCCUGGCUCAGUGUAGGACACAAAGAUGCAAAUACACUCUCCCUUGAUUUUGAGGGUUUAUCUAAUCGCUCCUUCUUUGCUGGUUCAGCUUCCUUUUCCCUAGAAGUCAAUUUGCGCUUCAACUUAAGGGGCUCCAUAGCUUCUUCAUCUUCUAAGGUUUCCACCUGUUUCUUAGGUGGUAGUCUAUAGUCUUCAUCAUCCUCGUCAUCAUCAUAAUCAACCAGUCCGCCGGAUCUUGAACUUAGUGAUGGAUAGCCUGCUGAUACUCCAUUGGAUAGCACAGACUGAGGCUGAACUCUUUUGGCAUGUGAUGCGGAUGCUGUAUCUUCUUCAUCACUGUUCUCGUUGAAGUAUUCCUCCUCCUCUUUUUCUAGAGCACGCUCAUCAUUUCGUUUUCGUGGAUCCAGUGUGCUGCCAGUAUUUUUUAUUGCACAACUCUCUAGGCACUGCUCAUAUUUAACUUUAAAAGACUGAAUGGAAGCCAAAUGCUCAAAUUUGACCAACUCAUUCCAAAAUGAACCAACUAUAUACUUGAUCAAUAAUUUCAGGUUUUCCUUGCGGAUAUACUCAAAAAGCUCUAAAACAGCAGAGUGCAGCAGAUUGUAACGGUGGCCAUUGCCAACAAAGGCAUCUAUAAUCGGUUUGAGAACGUUGCGCUUGACAAAAUGAUUUAUCAGAUGCUCAUCAUGGCGAGAAAGAAUAUUGCGAACAAAUCGAACAGCAGCAACAACAAGAUAUUUUUCCCUUCUUCGAGUUAGAGUCAUAACUUUAUCUAUAACAUUAUUAAGGAGAAAGUUACACUUUAUUCUAUAAGGAUGGUGCAAAACACAGAAGCAUAGCAAUUCACAAAUGUUUGAGAGUAUUUCUGGCUUCACGCUAUUUUGAUUUUCAUCUCUUCCACCAAAGCCUGAAGAUUUACCACUUGAUUGAGAAAUGCCUUCAACUGGACAUGAUGCUGUUAUAACAUCAAUUAAUUGGCCCAAAUGAUUCUCAUAGAAGAUCUCAAUAAUAUUAUCUCUCAAGAAAAACCAAAUCAAUGAAAUCCACAAAAUAACAGCCAGUAGAAAAGCACCCCAUCUUUCCCAGCAUUUUGCUUACAGACAAUAAUUCAAAUCUGUCACAUAACCACAAAAAUUAAAUUCAUAAAAAAUUCAGUAAUUAAUUGGCAUGCGUUAGAGCCUCUGUUGCUAUUAUUUCUGUCAUUCUUGUCUUACUAAAUGCAGCGCUAUUGCCAAUAGAUUAAAAUUUUAAUUCCUCAAAUCAUAGGUGGACAUUUUAACUCCCCUUGAUUAUCAUAUGAUUUCAGGGUUCCUAGCAAGACUUCCCAUACACAAAGAUUAACUUAGGCUUGAAAAUCAAGAUAAGCAUCAAGCCAAGACAGCUUGCAUUCUAACACAUAAUACAUAUUUAUAUCACGCUUUUAAAUAACAGCUGUCAUAUAAUGUAACAGCCAUCAAAUACAGAUUUUUGAAGGGGGUCAUUAUAAUUACCCACAUUAAAUAACGGCAAAAAAAAAUAGCAUUGGUAAUGGACGUAAGUUAUGUCUGCUACAUUAACGGCUGUUAUUGGCUAACAAGUAAUGGGUAACAGCCAUUACUCACUUGAGCACAAAGCCUUUUUUAUUUUGGAGCAAGGAGGCAAACAGCCUGUUUUCUUUCUUAUUUCAAUACUUCCCCUUCUUUUCCCUCACACUUCCAUCUCAAAUUUUCCAUCUUCUACAAAUCUUCUUUUCUUCGGUUAAGAUCAUCCAUUAGUAAAGAUUUAUUUGAAGUGAAGGAGAGCAAAUCUACACUUGUACAUUCAAAUUUUUGCAAAGAGUGAAAAAUAUAUACUUUUUUUUUGGUGUUUUUGCUCAUUUGAUGA